This 430-nucleotide ribosomal RNA is filed under the name Fusobacteriota bacterium. RNAcentral describes it as "Fusobacteria bacterium partial 16S ribosomal RNA". It matches the Rfam family "Bacterial small subunit ribosomal RNA", at positions 355 to 776 of the family's 1533-position model. Lineage: Bacteria; Fusobacteriati; Fusobacteriota. The record is from RNAcentral.
UGGGGAAUAUUGGACAAUGGGCGGAAGCCUGAUCCAGCCAUGCCGCGUGUGUGAAGAAGGCCUUUUGGUUGUAAAGCACUUUAAGCGAGGAGGAGGCUACUUGGAUUAAUACUCUAGGAUAGUGGACGUUACUCGCAGAAUAAGCACAGGCUAACUCUGUGCCAGCAGCCGCGGUAAUACAGAGGGUGCGAGCGUUAAUCGGAUUUACUGGGCGUAAAGCGUGCGUAGGCGGCUUCUUAAGUCGGAUGUGAAAUCCCUGAGCUUAACUUAGGAAUUGCAUUCGAUACUGGGAAGCUAGAGUAUGGGAGAGGAUGGUAGAAUUCCAGGUGUAGCGGUGAAAUGCGUAGAGAUCUGGAGGAAUACCGAUGGCGAAGGCAGCCAUCUGGCCUAAUACUGACGCUGAGGUACGAAAGCAUGGGGAGCAAACAGG